Molecule: ribosomal RNA, 464 nt
Filed under: uncultured bacterium
Lineage: Bacteria
Description: partial 16S ribosomal RNA
Rfam family: Bacterial small subunit ribosomal RNA
Source: RNAcentral
CUACGGGGGGCACCAGUGGGGAAUAUUGGACAAUGGGGGGAACCCUGAUCCAGCCAUGCCGCGUGUGUGAAGAAGGCCUUUUGGUUGUAAAGCACUUUAAGCAGUGAAGAAGACUCUUCGGUUAAUACCCGGGGACGAUGACAUUAGCUGCAGAAUAAGCACCGGCUAACUCUGUGCCAGCAGCCGCGGUAAUACAGAGGGUGCAAGCGUUAAUCGGAAUUACUGGGCGUAAAGCGAGCGUAGGUGGCUUGAUAAGUCAGAUGUGAAAUCCCCGGGCUUAACCUGGGAACUGCAUCUGAAACUGUUAGGCUAGAGUAGGUGAGAGGGAAGUAGAAUUUCAGGUGUAGCGGUGAAAUGCGUAGAGAUCUGAAGGAAUACCGAUGGCGAAGGCAGCUUCCUGGCAUCAUACUGACACUGAGGCUCGAAAGCGUGGGUAGCAAACAGGAUUAGAUACCCGAGUAGUC